This is a long non-coding RNA of Oncorhynchus gorbuscha (pink salmon), 2172 nucleotides long. RefSeq lists it as uncharacterized. The transcript is spliced from 3 exons. The record is from RefSeq and is a predicted model, not a curated record. Lineage: Eukaryota; Metazoa; Chordata; Actinopteri; Salmoniformes; Salmonidae.
UCAGAAAUCAUCUAAAACAAAUGUAAUAAUAAUCAUAACUAAACUUAACAAAUUGCCUUUAUUACUACCGGUUCUAGUAUUACGGCGUACUGCAGUUCUGCGUGUGGUUUGGCCAAGUGAAGUUGUCGGGCCCCAGCAGAAGACGUUGCUGGACUGCUAUGGUGAUGUCAUCAUGAGCAAAAGGAAGGGUGGCAGUGACAUUCGUCAGUUUUUUGGACCUCAGAAAAGAAAGAUACCUUGUAACUGGUGAUUAUUUCAAAACAAUGACCUACAGUUACCGUGUUGGGUGACCAGGGCCACCUGGAGGAAUUCAGGUGUGUGAAGGCUACCUAUGUCCUUCAUAACUUCAUGAGGAUGAACACGAGGUGCAGAAGAUCUGCAGCUCACCCCCAUGUGCCAGAGGAGAAGUCUGCUGUUCUGCAGAAUGUUUCAAGGAUGGUGUCCAACAACGCAGCAAGAGGCAAUCUGUGUGCGGGAGAUCUUCACCUCCUACUUCUUCGAAGAGGGUGCUGUUCCCUGGCAACACAAUAGAAUACACUAUGCACAACCAAAGGCUCUUUUAAGACUCAUCCAUAUUGCAAUAAGAGUAUUCUUCCAUUUACUUAGCUAUGUCAACUGCAGUUUCAAUUUCCAUUUUCUCUCCCUUUGAUUUCUACUUCUCAGGUGAGGGUGCUGUGUAGGUAAGGGUGUGAUAUGUGUACAACAGAACAGGUUAUUUUAAGUCACCCAUAUUGAAAAAAAUGUAGAACAAGUAGACACCCUAUAACCCACACCUACACAUGUAUCAAUCUGAUUGUGUUGUGCAGUAAGCAGGCUCAGGUGUAUAACUGGCUCCUUCCACCUUCAAAGAAUAGGCAAAAGGGCCAACCAUGGAGAACAGUAAGACACUUCAUUAUUUCUAUGCUAUAUUGUUUGUCCUCGUGUCUGCAUGUUUUUCAGUAUAAAGUACUCUGCAGCCACUUAGUGUGGACACCAGGUGAGGCCACAAGCACAUAUUCCUGUUGAACAAUGUCUCUAACUACCUUAUUUUCUUAAGUCUCCUUCACUUCAUCCCGCUCUCCCCUUCUCCUCUAGGUUAUAUCAGCUGUCGGUCACUUGGUCAGGUCAACAGGAAGUAUUAUUAAAGAGAUGCUUCACAUUGAAAUACAGAGAGAUGCAGUAGUCCCAGAGUUAAUGAUCCAAGGUCAAUUUUUUGCAUUUCGCCUUCUGAUGAUUGAUACCUGACAGUGUUCGAAUAGAAAAAUAAAAAACAAGGCUUAAACAUCUCUCCAUCUGUCUCUCGUCUGCAGGUAUGUUUUUUUUUAUGUGAGAGAGGUGCCAACCCCCAGUCCCGUCAUCGCUACCUCAACCGCUCUUAAGAUAACCUUCGGGUCGACAUAGCUAGGUUCUGAACUAAUAUGUAUACCAAACGUUAGACAGAUCAGCUACAUAGCUAGGUUCUGAACUAAUAUGUAUACCAAACGUUAGACAGAUCAGCUACAUAGCUUCACAUCAUAGGCAUACAGGUUUUUUAAAUUCCCCAUUUCACAAUAAGCAAGAAAUAAGUUAACUAGUUUAUUUCAUCUAUCUGUACUGCAUGGCAAAUAUCAGGCAAGCUUACACAAUUGUACAUUAAAUGUGCAGUAAAUGCUUUAGCUAGCUAGAGUCUUCACAUCCACUGUUUCACAAGACGACUGCCUGAUUUUGGUUUGUUGGUUGUUUCAGAGUCCAUACAGCCAGAAUGACAAUUUCAUACUCAUGUCACAACACCCAUAACGCUAGCUGGCUAAUGUUAGCCAGUCAAAUCGCGAUUUUCGUGAAUAAACUUUAUGACAAAAAAUGCAUAAUCAUUUGUCUCUACAUUAACUGACAUUCCUGUCAACUGUACUUUUUUUUUUUUUUGCAUGAUUCGUUAUGGCGUUAUAAUCACUUACAUUUGCUUCCAUCCUAGUAUUUCUGCCAGCCAUCUUUGCUAAAUAAAGUAUCCAGCCUUGGGUCGCAUAGUGUCAAAUUCGUCAUGGGAGCCACUCGAUAUGAUUGGUCACCGCUGCUGACUUUCCAUACAUUUGGGAAAAGUUUAUUUAUCACCGCCUCCCACGCCACCUUUGCACCGCCCAAAGGACCCACGACCUCUCCGGUUCUCACCGCUCCCCCCCCACUUUGAAAUGAAUGGGAAGUUGUGUUUCUCCGCUC